CCCUUGUCAGCUCACCGGGUGUCCUGGCAGAGGCGUUUAAUUGCCAUUAAGCAGAGCAGUUGUGACCCUACCCAGAAGCUGUCAAGCCAAGAAGAGAAGCAGGUUGUCACCUGCCUGUGCUGGCCUGCACCACUGCAGCCAUUGUGUGGCAGCGGAGAUCGAGGUGUUGUCUACUGAUGCCAUCCCUGGAGCUUUCUUAUUUCUAAUAAAGGUGUCCCUGCCAAAGGAGCUGUAACGGGAAAUCAAGGUGCUCUCUGCGUGUCUCUUGAUCUCUGCCAGACUUGAAGAACCUGUAGUUCAUAGCACUGGAGGAGCAGCACAGGCAUCCUAUGGAAGAGACAACACUCUUUUGCUCUCUUUCAAAGACUGCAGUUUUUAAAGAAUUUCAUUGCUUUUCCAUUUGACUUGGGCUCGCACAGCCUCACUGAUGUUCUAGCCAUGAGUAAACCAGGGAUUGACUUGCUUUCUGCUGCUCUGCACUGUUUGUCUGACUGGGGAAUGAGAAGAAGGAAUAUGGCAGAUAGUUCUUGCUUUCCCAUUAAUCUGGCAAAGCCACACUCUACUAGUAGGUUACUCCAAAAUAGUUCAUGCUUUGUUCAGUGUGACUUUUGAACACAAUCAAGUGUGUCCA
Molecule: long non-coding RNA, 631 nt
Organism: Neopsephotus bourkii (Bourke's parrot)
Lineage: Eukaryota; Metazoa; Chordata; Aves; Psittaciformes; Psittacidae
Exons: 3
Source: RefSeq, a predicted model, not a curated record